Molecule: long non-coding RNA, 210 nt
Filed under: Lathyrus oleraceus (garden pea)
Lineage: Eukaryota; Viridiplantae; Streptophyta; Magnoliopsida; Fabales; Fabaceae
Description: Pisum sativum (pea) long non-coding RNA (PSAT_LNC029810)
Source: RNAcentral
AAAUCUCAAAUUGAUCAAAGGAGGACAUUUACCAAAUUAAUAUCAUUCAUUCAUUUUGGGAGAUGGAAUGUAUAUUCCAUCAAUCCCCUAAAUCCAAUGAUAUUAAUUUGACAAAGUCAAAUCAACAUUGACCAAGGCCCAACAACAAGAGUCAAACACCAACAAGUCAUCACAAUUGGUCAACAAAUUUAUUUGGCAUUUAUUCCAAUU